UGCAAGUCGAACGAAGCGCUUAAACGGAUUUCUUCGGAUUGAAGUUUUUGCGACUGAGUGGCGGACGGGUGAGUAACGCGUGGGUAACCUGCCUCGUACAGGGGGAUAACAGUUAGAAAUGACUGCUAAUACCGCAUAAGCGCACAGUGCUGCAUGGCACAGUGUGAAAAACUCCGGUGGUAUGAGAUGGACCCGCGUCUGAUUAGCUAGUUGGUGGGGUAACGGCCUACCAAGGCGACGAUCAGUAGCCGGCCUGAGAGGGUGAACGGUCACAUUGGGACUGAGACACGGCCCAAACUCCUACGGGAGGCAGCAGUGGGGAAUAUUGCACAAUGGGGGAAACCCUGACGCAGCGACGCCGCGUGAGCGAAGAAGUAUUUCGGUAUGUAAAGCUCUAUCAGCAGGGAAGAAAAUGACGGUACCUGACUAAGAAGCACCGGCUAAAUACGUGCCAGCAGCCGCGGUAAUACGUAUGGUGCAAGCGUUAUUCGGAUUUACUGGGUGUAAAGGGAGCGUAGACGGUUGUGUAAGUCUGAUGUGAAAGCCCGGGGCUCAACCCCGGGACUGCAUUGGAAACUAUGUAACUAGAGUGUCGGAGAGGUAAGCGGAAUUCCUAGUGUAGCGGUGAAAUGCGUAGAUAUUA
This 643-nucleotide ribosomal RNA is filed under the name uncultured bacterium. Its description in RNAcentral is "bacterial SSU rRNA". It matches the Rfam family "Bacterial small subunit ribosomal RNA", at positions 56 to 699 of the family's 1533-position model. The record is from RNAcentral.